This 1249-nucleotide ribosomal RNA is filed under the name metagenome. RNAcentral describes it as "bacterial LSU rRNA". It matches the Rfam family "Bacterial large subunit ribosomal RNA", at positions 1697 to 2925 of the family's 2925-position model. The record is from RNAcentral.
UACUAUGGUUAAGGAACUCGGCAAAUUGCCUCCGUAACUUCGGGAGAAGGAGGACCCCAGUAGCGUGAUGAGACUUGCUCUCUGAGCGUGAAGGGGUGGCACAAAAUUGAGGGAAGCGACUGUCUACCAAAAACACAGCAGCGUGCUAAGCCGUAAGGCGCUGUAUACACUGUGACUCCUGCCCGGUGCUGGAAGGUUACGGGGAUGGGUUAGUCCUUCGGGACGAAGCUCUGAACCUAAGCCCCAGUAAACGGCGGCCGUAACUAUAACGGUCCUAAGGUAGCGAAAUUCCUUGUCGGGUAAGUUCCGACCUGCACGAAUGGAGUAACGACUUCCCUACUGUCUCAACCAUAGACCCAGCGAAAUUGAAGUACGAGUAAAGAUGCUCGUUAGCUGCAGAAGGACGGAAAGACCCCGUGGACCUUUACUAUAACUUGAUGUUGUGUUUUGUCAUAUGUUGUGUAGGAUAGGUGGGAGACUUGGAAGCAUGGACGCUAGUCUGUGUGGAGUCAUCGUUGAAAUACCACCCUGCAUAUGGUGAGGCUCUAACCUAGACCCGUUAUCCGGGUUGGGGACAGCGUCAGGCGGGUAGUUUAACUGGGGCGGUUGCCUCCUAAAGAGUAACGGAGGCGCCCAAAGGUUCCCUCAGCCUGGUUGGCAAUCAGGCGUUGAGUGCAAUGGCAAAAGGGAGCUUGACUGCGAGGCCUACAAGUCGAGCAGGAGCGAAAGCUGGGCAUAGUGAUCCGGCGGUUGCGUGUGGAAGCGCCGUCGCUCAACGGAUAAAAGGUACCCCGGGGAUAACAGGCUAAUCUUGCCCAAGCGUCCAUAGCGACGGCAAGGUUUGGCACCUCGAUGUCGGCUCAUCGCAUCCUGGGGCUGAAGCAGGUCCCAAGGGUUGGGCUGUUCGCCCAUUAAAGCGGUACGCGAGCUGGGUUCAGAACGUCGUGAGACAGUUCGGUCCCUAUCCUCUGCAGCCGGAGGUGAAUUGAGGAAAGCUGUCCCUAGUACGAGAGGACCGGGACGGACGCAGCUCUCGUGUGCCAGUUGUCCUGCCAAGGGCAUGGCUGGUUAGCGACCUGCGGAAAGGAUAACCGCUGAAAGCAUCUAAGCGGGAAGCCUCUUCCAAGAUGAAUUCACCCACAGGGUUAACCUGGUAAGGCCCGUGGUAGACCACCUCGUUGAUAGGCCGGAAGUGUAAGCGUGGCAACACGUUCAGCUGACCGGUACUAAUCGGCCGAGGGCUUGAGCG